RNAcentral lists this long non-coding RNA (3035 nucleotides) under Medicago truncatula (barrel medic). RNAcentral describes it as "long non-coding RNA (MTRU_LNC005319)". The record is from RNAcentral. Lineage: Eukaryota; Viridiplantae; Streptophyta; Magnoliopsida; Fabales; Fabaceae.
UAAAUUAGAUAAUCAACUAAAUAAUUUCAAAGACAAUAGCAGUUAAAGAAACACAACUUGACCCUACAGUUUGUCAAAAACAAACUGCAUAUAUGGCCAAACAGUAAUUUUUAUUUCAUUCAUUCAUAGUUUAUUCAUGAUUUCCAUACACAUAAUUAAAAACAAAGCCAAAGGGACUUUGUCACAUCACAUGCAUGGUUACAUAGUUAAUUAAUCACAUUGAUAGCAGAAGGUAGUGACAUCAUGGCAACGGCACUGUGGAGGAAUAAACUUUGUGCAAACGCAAUCUAAGCAACCUGGUGAGUUACAUUUUUCUCUAACAUCAGUACACCACACAUGCUUGUGGGAAUGAUCUUGUGCAUUGGCAGCUAUUACAGCAUCCUGUUGUUGUGGAUUUGACAUCGUAAGCAGCUUCACCAUUUGAGAUUACUUGAGUUAUGAAGGAUGUUGGAUCGAAACGAGCAUCAACAACAGUUGAAGUGAAGCCCAAAAGAAAAACCAAUAAAGCUAACUUCAUCAUCUCACCACCAUUAUCACUAUCUCUUUCUCACUUGCUCCCUCGUAGUAAGUACUAUUUAUGGAUAUCUUUCUUUGCAGCUAGCCACAUGAGUCGAGACAACUACUACUUUUAAUUUCUACCGAAAAAAUGUAGAGCAAUGAUAUUUGUACAUUCAUUCCAUGACAACUUUAGUGACAAUCUUGUUUUUCUCUCUUUUUAUUGAUCAAAAACAAUGGAGAGAGAAAAAGAAAGAGAGAGGAUAAGAUCAUCAUAUGAGUAUGAGAGAGAAAGUUAUACAAAAGUUGUCACAAAUUGAUUGUACAAAUAUCAUUUCUCAAAAAUGUAUAAUACUAAUAUUUUCCUUCUCCUGCGUUCCGUUUUUGUGUUCUUAAUUUUAGGUAAAAUCACAUCACGGGUCGUUUAUUGUCAAAGAAUGACAAAAUAAUAAAAUAUAAUUAAGUUAAUGAUACAAUUAUAUCACGGGCAGUUUAUUGUCAAAGAACAGCAAAGUAAGGAAGAACCCGCGAGAUGCAAAAGAAAUGACGACAUAAGAGGGUUGUGAUGGUGGCCUGUGGCGGAGAAUGGCGAGGAGAGCCUUUGUGUUUCUAUGUUUUUUUUUUUAUUUUGUUCAUUUUUUUGUGGACUAGGGAAGAGAGAACAAAGAUAAGGUUUUGAUAAGGAAUUUAAGGAGAGAGAAAGAAAAAAAAAUUAAAACAAAAUGUCACAUAGGUGUAUAGGUUGUUGACACACACCGUAUAUUCCUACGGUUAAGGGUAUACAAGUCAAGUUUUUUUAAUCAUUCUUUACAAUCUUGGAAAGCGUGUCAUCCUUAAUUGCUCAAUGGAAAAUGAUGAGUGUUAUUUGAACAACCAAUUUGGUGACAACUUAUUUGACAAUUAUAUUUUACAAAGAAAAAAGUGGUAUUGGCACGGAAACCAUAACAAUAGAGAGAUAAAGUAAAAAGUAAUGUGAGUAUGAGAGAGAAAGUUGUUGUAAAAGUUGUUACUAAAUGGAUGUUCAAAUAUCAUUUCUCAUGGAAAAAAUACGGUGUGUGGAAAGUUGUUGGUUUUUGGUUGUUAAAAUAAGGCUUAAUUGCACUUUUUGCCCCCUAUCUUUUCAAAAGUUGCGAUUUUGGCCCCCUAACUAAUUAAAAUACAAAACAACCCCCUAUGUAUUGGAUCUUUGCUAGUUUUGGCCCCCAAGGCCACUUUUGACCCCCUAUCUUUCCACUUUGGGGGCCAAAACUGCCAAAGAUCCAAUACAUAUGGGGUUGUUUUGUAUUUUAAUUAGUUAGAGGGCUAAAAUCGCAACUUUUGAAAAGAUAGAAGGUCAAAAGUGCAAUUAAGCCUUAAAAUAAUAGUGCUCGGUGUAUAUAUGGCUGUUUUGGACAAAAUGGAUGUUCAUAAUUGAUUUUGGAGGUGUAGAAUUGAUCCUGACAUGUUUAAUUGUUGUUGAGUAUGAUUGAUUCUGUCUUUAGAGUUGUUCUACUUAAAACUAGGAUCUGUAGCUUUUGAUUUUGAAAUUGAUUUUCAAACAUAAAUCUAAAUCAAUUCUAUCAAAAUUAACUGUUCCAACAGCACAACCAAACACAGACUUCGUUGAAGAAGUUGAUUCAUCUACGUAUAUACAGCGAGUUAAACUUCAGCUGUAAAACUCGUUAGACCUCUUGUCACUUAUAAAACUUAGUAAACAUGUUAAAACACACAAAUAUCCCCAAAAGGGAGAUGGAUUGAGCUUACUACCCUAAGUGCGGAGACACAAAGAUCAAGACAAACCCAAAACCUCGUUCAAAACCAUCCUAACCCAUCUCCUCCUUAACUAACUACAGUCUUAACAUACAACCUUAAUUCAGAUUAAUUUUUUAAGUUAUAUGUGAUAAGAAACAAACUUCUCCAACUCAGCAACUCAAAAAAGUUGAAUAUCAUUAAAUUUCAAUUUUUUUUUACUUAUUUAAUCAUAAUUAUUAAACUUUUGACAUGUUAAUUAAUUAAAUUAUAAACUAUAAAAGAUUAUACUAGUUAAUAGAAAAAUUAAUAUUGCCAAUUUAUUCCAUCAAUCAAUAUUUAUUGAUUUGAGUUUGUACAUUUAUUACAAGAGUAGAUGUAAUCUUCGCAACGGCAUGUAGGAGGCAACCCUGAGUCACAAACGCAAUUAUCGCAACCUGGGUGACAAGAUCGUCCUGUAGCAUCAUUACAACGACAUGGAGGAAAAGUCAAACUUGAGCACUCACAGUCAUUACAGCACCCUUCGUUAUUUUGCUCUUGAGUGAUGAAGGUUGUUGGAUCCAAACCAGCAUCAACUACAAUUGCAAUGAAACCUAAGAGGAAAAGCAAGAAAGAUAACUUCAUUAUUGCUCUCGAUAAUUCUUUAUGACACUUGCAAAGAGGCAAGCAACUACAUGGGUCUAUUUAUAUAGAGUGCAUUUUAUUUAAUUAUUUAAAUUAAAUAUUCACAAUAUAUGAAAACCCAAAAGAUUUAUUUUAAAUAAUAUUUUUAAUAAGAGUCAAUCAUGGUGGUCAAUAGUGAUUAAUACGGU